GCGUGCCAACCAGAAGUUACAUCUUCCUUGCAUACAGGACAUGCCAUAUAACCCUUUUUGCUCCACCAGAAAUCAUUGCAUAUGCUGGAAAAUCAUUCACAGUCCACAUAACUGCUGCCCGCAAAGUGAACAUAUUCCCAGUUGAUUUAUCGUAUCACUACUACAAAAAGUGAAAAAGACGACCAGAAAACAACGACGGUCUAAGUGAAAACCGUCGUGAUUUUUAAAAAGACGACGGUUCUAAAAACACCGUCGUGUAAUACCA
RNAcentral lists this long non-coding RNA (265 nucleotides) under Prunus persica (peach). Its description in RNAcentral is "long non-coding RNA (PPER_LNC007934)". Lineage: Eukaryota; Viridiplantae; Streptophyta; Magnoliopsida; Rosales; Rosaceae. The record is from RNAcentral.